GUCGAACGGAUCCUUCGGGAUUAGUGGCGGACGGGUGAGUAACACGUGGGAACGUGCCUUUUGGUUCGGAACAACUCAGGAAAACUUGAGCUAAUACCGGAUGUGCCCUUCGGGGGAAAGAUUUAUCGCCAUUAGAACGGCCCGCGUCUGAUUAGCUAGUUGGUGGGGUAAAGGCCCACCAAGGCGACGAUCAGUAGCUGGUCUGAGAGGAUGAUCAGCCACAUUGGGACUGAGACACGGCCCAAACUCCUACGGGAGGCAGCAGUGGGGAAUCUUGCGCAAUGGGCGAAAGCCUGACGCAGCCAUGCCGCGUGAAUGAUGAAGGUCUUAGGAUUGUAAAAUUCUUUCYCCGGGGACGAUAAUGACGGUACCCGGAGAAGAAGCCCCGGCUAACUUCGUGCCAGCAGCCGCGGUAAUACGAAGGGGGCUAGCGUUGCUCGGAAUUACUGGGCGUAAAGGGAGCGUAGGCGGACUGUUAAGUUAGAGGUGAAAGCCCAGGGCUCAACCUUGGAAUUGCCUUUGAUACUGGAAGUCUUGAGUACGGAAGAGGUAUGUGGAACUCCGAGUGUAGAGGUGAAAUUCGUAGAUAUUCGGAAGAACACCAGUGGCUAAGGCGACAUACUGGUCCGUUACUGACGCUGAGGCUCGAAAGCGUGGGGAGCAAACAGGAUUAGAUACCCUGGUAGUCCACGCCGUAAACGAUGAGUGCUAAUUGUCGGCAUGCAUGCAUGUCGGUGACGCAGCUAACGCA
This 751-nucleotide ribosomal RNA is filed under the name Caulobacter sp. EPA3. RNAcentral's name for it is "bacterial SSU rRNA". It matches the Rfam family "Bacterial small subunit ribosomal RNA", at positions 61 to 859 of the family's 1533-position model. The record is from RNAcentral. Lineage: Bacteria; Pseudomonadati; Pseudomonadota; Alphaproteobacteria; Caulobacterales; Caulobacteraceae.